RNAcentral lists this ribosomal RNA (482 nucleotides) under uncultured bacterium. Its description in RNAcentral is "bacterial SSU rRNA". It matches the Rfam family "Bacterial small subunit ribosomal RNA", at positions 30 to 506 of the family's 1533-position model. The record is from RNAcentral.
UUGAACGCUGGCGGCAUGCCUUACACAUGCAAGUCGAACGGCAGCACGGGGGCAACCCUGGUGGCGAGUGGCGAACGGGUGAGUAAUAUAUCGGAACGUGCCCUGGAGUGGGGGAUAACUAGUCGAAAGACUAGCUAAUACCGCAUACGAUCUACGGAUGAAAGUGGGGGAUCGCAAGACCUCAUGCUCGUGGAGCGGCCGAUAUCUGAUUAGCUAGUUGGUGGGGUAAAAGCCUACCAAGGCAUCGAUCAGUAGCUGGUCUGAGAGGACGACCAGCCACACUGGGACUGAGACACGGCCCAGACUCCUACGGGAGGCAGCAGUGGGGAAUUUUGGACAAUGGGGGCAACCCUGAUCCAGCAAUGCCGCGUGAGUGAAGAAGGCCUUCGGGUUGUAAAGCUCUUUUGUCAGGGAAGAAACGGUCCGGGCUAAUAUCCUGGGCUAAUGACGGUACCUGAAGAAUAAGCACCGGCUAACUACGU